This 580-nucleotide long non-coding RNA is filed under the name Pan troglodytes (chimpanzee). RNAcentral describes it as "lincRNA". The record is from RNAcentral. Lineage: Eukaryota; Metazoa; Chordata; Mammalia; Primates; Hominidae.
AACCUUUGCUGUCUUGGAACAGAUCACCACUGCAAGAGGGGAAGUUGCUACUGUGAUGAAUUCUGCCAUGUGGUACCAGACUGCUACCCAGACCACAGUGUCCUCUGCAACCCUCGUCAAAGGUGCCUACAUGUUCCUUCUAGCUUUGUUUCCCUGAUGUUCCUUGCCACCUGCUACUCCUCUCUGAGCUACUUUUCCAGCUUCUCAGAUGACCAAGAUGGUGCUGCAGAUGGUGCUGAGGAUGGAGAACCCACCAAGCCCCGCUAGGAGCCACCUAGACUGGAUGUAGAGCAUGGCUAAAACCUUUGAAGAGGAAUUUAUUAUAUCCUACAAACCUGGGAGGCAGAGGUUGCAGUGAGCCAAGAUUGGGCCAUCGCACUCCAGCCUGGGCAAUAAGAAUGAAACUCUGUCUCAAAAAAACAAAAGUUGGCUAGGGCUGGGCGUGGUGGCUCACACCUGUAAUCCCAGCACUUUGGGAGGCUAAAGCAGGUGGAUCACCUGAGGUCAGAAGUACGAGACCAUCCUGGCUAAUAUGGUGAAACCCCAUCUCUACUAAAAAUAUGAAAAAAGAAAAAAAAAU